AGUCCUCCCCGACCGCAUCUCCAGACAUCGUCACGAGCAUCUAUUUGUCGUGCUUCUUGUGUCUCGGCAUAUUCUGCACACCCGCGCCUCCUGAAAGUCCCCACCAUCCAAAGGCAGAGACGAUGACGACCAUUACAGAGGCGAUGGUGCUGGAGAAGGAGCGACAGAACGCUGCCAGGCGCGAUGCGCUGAAUAAGCGCAGCCAAAAUGUGUCCCGCUUGGCUGAACCAGAACCUAACUUCCCACCGGAGUGCUGCUGCGUGAAGCCAGUUAUCUACCACAACAUCCGCGAGCAGGUGCCCGUGACGCAGCAGCGUUUCAUGUACAUCCUCGCGGGCCUGUACGUCACGUUGAUGGCCCUCAUCAUCUACAACAUCGUGGCUGCCCUGGUGGCCUUCGCCCUUGGCGGAAGCGCCCUGCACUUUGGUCUUUCCUUUGUGUAUCUGCUGGGACUCCCAGGAGCGUGGAUUUCGUGGUACUACAACGUGUACUGCGCCAUAGUGUACGCGUCGCGCUCGCGGCAGCUGAUUGCUCUGCUGGGUCUUCUUGUAGGCGUCGUUUUCGAUGUGUGGAUGACGAUCGGCAUCACCGGCUUUGGCGGCUGCGGCUGGAUCUACGCCCUCAGCUUGACACGCAAUGUGGCUCCGUUUGUGCUGGUUCUCAUUAGUGCGAUCCUGUGGCCGCUGCACGGCUUUGCGCUGUGCGUGAUGCUCCUGCGUUAUUGGCGCCUUUCGAGGGUACUCUUGAAGAAUACGGCCAACAUCUACCGCCAGAGCAUCAUUUAGCUGUCUGACCUCGUGCCACGUCAGGACAGCGCUUCCCGACCAGUGUACAUUACACUCCACAUAGCAAGAAUUUUUUUUGUCAACGUGCCCAUUUCUCUGCCAUACACGAGCCAAACUCCACUCCGCGUCACCGCCGGCCGGCCACAGGCCUCACCGAGUCCUGCGACGCAGCGCGGCACACACGCUUUGCGGCAACGCGCCGACUCAGCCAUCCGAGAGCACGGCCCCCCUGCCUCAAGCUCCACCGACCUCCUCCCGCCCCCCCGCUGCCUCGCAGGCCGCCUCACAGCCGCUCCCAUCAUGCCGGCCGCCACCUGCGGCAUCCCUCCUCGGAGAGGGAGGGGGUGGCGCUCAGGCUCCCCACACCAGCAGGCGGUGGUGAGGGCCGGGUGACGGAUGCGCUGGAGCCGCGCAGACGCGUCGGCACUGCCGCAGGCCGCUCCGACGCAACGCCAUCCAGGACCUGACACACCGCCGACAUCCGUCGCGAUGCAGCGCACUGGCUUCCCUACGUCGUGGGCACGUGGACCCUGCCAGCACCAGAGGAAGUGCAGCGCUGCAUUGGCAGGGGAUGGAGGAGGGGCUGCUUGGCUUCUUCCCAUGCACACAGAGGGUGAAGGAGGCUACUGGAUCCGGGAUACCUCACACCGGGGUGUGCUUGCCCCCUGCUGUCAUGAAAAUCAACCUAAAGCAGCAGAAACCAAAAAUGCGAAAUGGCGGCUUCAAGCGCACAGGGGCUUUUCGGACCCCCUCUCUUUUAUUGGGUGCUUCAAGUUCUUUGCUGCAUUGUUUGUGGUUUGCGUGGUCGUUCCCGCUUAGUGUGUACUUCUCUUGUUGCGAUUUAGUUGGCCCUGAAGCUGGAACAUCGGUGAUGUGGGUGCUGCGGUGGGGGAUGAGGAGAGAAGAGCAUGGGGACGAUUGAUUCGCCUCGUUGCGGAGUCUGAAGAGGGAGUCUUAACGUCUCACAACCCUUUUUGGUUCCUUGCCGCCUCCGCCCCCCCGCCCUCUCUCCCUUCUAAGCCACACACAUGCGACAUAUGCGCGCCGAUGCGCAUGUGGUGUUAUUAUUUGUUGUUCCCUGUCUGAUCUCAUUCCGCAUUCACCCCGAGCGUGCGUGUGCGUGUGGGUGUGCCUGAUGAGAAACCAUUGCUUCCUGUGCGCUUGCAGCAGCAGUCUUUCCGCAAAUGCAGAGCAAAAAAAAAC
Molecule: unclassified non-coding RNA, 1988 nt
Filed under: Leishmania donovani
Lineage: Eukaryota; Euglenozoa; Kinetoplastea; Trypanosomatida; Trypanosomatidae
Description: gene:LdHU3.35.6370(CDS-product:membrane-_traffick ing_protein_putative)
Source: RNAcentral